Molecule: long non-coding RNA, 1315 nt
Organism: Grus americana (Whooping crane)
Lineage: Eukaryota; Metazoa; Chordata; Aves; Gruiformes; Gruidae
Exons: 3
Source: RefSeq, a predicted model, not a curated record
CUCCGCAGCCGCGGACCCGAGGCGCUGCCGGCCGCGAUUUACCUGCGAGGGAGCCGGGUCUCUGCAGGGUGGCGGUGGCGUACAGCUCCUGGGAGUGCUUGCUGUACUGAUCGGCAGCGUGAACCAGCCGCUUGCCUCCUUUAAGAAUGCAUCACACCCUUUCACGCUAACCCCCAGGGUACGAUGCUUUGCACAAAGCACAACUCCUGAUGACAUCUGCCCAGGCUACAACUGGAUAUUAUAGCCUCCUUUUUCUUUCCACCUGGAAUCCUGCUCUCCUGCUGGCUCCAAUCCCAAAGAACAUCAGGGAGGUCCUCUUUGUAAACUAGCUUACUCUUCCAUGGUGUCCGGGCCCAGCAAGUGAAAUACAACAGGAGAGAAAAGAAGAGGGUUAUGCCUUGGUCACUGCAUGAGUUACAAAGAAGUCUACCUUCAACCCAACAGCUAUCGUCUAUAGUAUAUUCAGCGGCUCCACGGGGAUGAUAGGUUCAUCUUCUGGUCAGCACUAACAAGCUCAUGAGAGCAUAGCAGGUGACACAAACCUUAAGGGAUGUAAAAUGAUUAAGUUGAUUUUGCUCCUACAGAACAUGUGAAAAGUUCAGUUUUAAAAAGACUCAUAAUGGCAAAAUUCCAAUGAAUUUUACCAGAAAUAACUCCCAGUACAUUCCUGAUACAAAGGCCAAAUUUUAUGACCUUUAAGUCUUUGCUACGAGAAUGUACAGCUGCUCCAAAAAGAUAUCCACUUAGAAAACGUGCAAAAACCCCACCCCCAAAUUAACACAGAGUAUUUUUUCCCCUAGUCUGUUUCUCAGAAAUGGCAGAACCAUUAUAACUGAUAUUUUCCAAAAUCCAACCUGAACCACUCAUAUUAUAAACAAAUCGUAGUAGGCUACGUAAAGUGGAAGUGUUUGCAUCUAAGUGUAGACUGGGAUUAUGACGCUAUUUUACAUAUCAACGCAAUUUAUACUGUAAAGUCAAUUGCAUUCAUCAGUAUAUUCCAGAUAUAGGACAAAUUUAGAAAGUGAGUUCUGGUCCUUGUAUUUUCCUUACAUGUACAGAAGGGGCAGGGCUCCACGUGUGCUGUGAGGUUAUUAAAAAUGUAUCACAUGCAUAGGAGAGCUGAAUUUAAUUCUGCAUGGGUGCUUAUAAAUCCAACAUUUCAUAGCUUUCCGUUCCCUGACUCUGCAAAUAGGGUUUACUAACCAUUUUCCAUUUAACUGGUUUUGUUGCAAAUUUUGUUCCUGAAUGAAAGAAAUAUUUUCACAGAUUUUUUUAAAGAACAUAAAAAAAAUACAGGCUUAAUUUAAAAAUAUAU